Molecule: long non-coding RNA, 226 nt
Organism: Lemur catta (Ring-tailed lemur)
Lineage: Eukaryota; Metazoa; Chordata; Mammalia; Primates; Lemuridae
Exons: 3
Source: RefSeq, a predicted model, not a curated record
ACAAGGCAAUUCAGUUGCCAAAAAUUGUAAAAGAGCAAGGGGAAAAAUACUGUGGAAUGAAUAUGCAUGUACGUAUUUCCAAAGCAAAAGCUUCCUGGUAUAACCUGAAAAAGAAGUUUAAGGAGUUACCAGCCCACACAAGAGUUGAAUGGACAGGAGAGAGUUACAGUAUUACUCACUGGCCACUAACCUAAGGACCUGGAAGCAAUAUAUUUUAAGAGAAGAG